GAUGAACGCUGGCGGCGUGCCUAAUACAUGCAAGUCGAGCGAACAGACGAGGAGCUUGCUCCUCUGACGUUAGCGGCGGACGGGUGAGUAACACGUGGAUAACCUACCUAUAAGACUGGGAUAACUUCGGGAAACCGGAGCUAAUACCGGAUAAUAUAUUGAACCGCAUGGUUCAAUAGUGAAAGACGGUUUUGCUGUCACUUAUAGAUGGAUCCGCGCCGCAUUAGCUAGUUGGUAAGGUAACGGCUUACCAAGGCAACGAUGCGUAGCCGACCUGAGAGGGUGACCGCCCACACUGGAAUUGGGACACGGUCCAGCCUCCUACGGGAGGCAGCAGUAGGGAAUCUUCCGCAAUGGGCGAAAGCCUGCCGGAGCAACGCCGCGUGAGUGAUGAAGGUCUUCGGAUCGUAAAACUCUGUUAUUAGGGAAGACCAAAUGUGUAAGUAACUAUGCACGUCUUGACGGUACCUAAUCAGAAAGCCACGGCUAACUACGUG
RNAcentral lists this ribosomal RNA (497 nucleotides) under uncultured bacterium. Its description in RNAcentral is "partial 16S ribosomal RNA". It matches the Rfam family "Bacterial small subunit ribosomal RNA", at positions 28 to 507 of the family's 1533-position model. The record is from RNAcentral.